AGAGUUUGAUCAUGGCUCAGAACGAACGCUGGCGGCAUGCCUAACACAUGCAAGUCGAACGAACCCUUCGGGGUUAGUGGCGCACGGGUGCGUAACGCGUGGGAAUCUGCCCAAAGGUUCGGAAUAACAGUUAGAAAUGACUGCUAAUACCGGAUAAUGUCGCAAGACCAAAGAUUUAUUGCCUUUGGAUGAGCCCGCGUAGGAUUAGCUAGUUGGUGGGGUAAAGGCCUACCAAGGCGACGAUCCUUAGCUGGUCUGAGAGGAUGAUCAGCCACACUGGGACUGAGACACGGCCCAGACUCCUACGGGAGGCAGCAGUGGGGAAUAUUGGACAAUGGGCGAAAGCCUGAUCCAGCAAUGCCGCGUGAGUGAUGAAGGCCUUAGGGUUGUAAAGCUCUUUUACCCGGGAAGAUAAUGACUGUACCGGGAGAAUAAGCCCCGGCUAACCCCGUGCCAGCAGCCGCGGUAAUACGGAGGGGGCUAGCGUUGUUCGGAAUUACUGGGCGUAAAGCGUACGUAGGCGGCUUUGUAAGUUAGAGGUGAAAGCCCGGGGCUCAACCCCGGAAUUGCCUUUAAGACUGCAUCGCUUGAACGUCGGAGAGGUGAGUGGAAUUCCGAGUGUAGAGGUGAAAUUCGUAGAUAUUCGGAAGAACACCAGUGGCGAAGGCGGCUCACUGGACGACUGUUGACGCUGAGGUACGAAAGCGUGGGGAGCAAACAGGAUUAGAUACCCUAGUAGUCC
This 742-nucleotide ribosomal RNA is filed under the name uncultured bacterium. RNAcentral's name for it is "bacterial SSU rRNA". It matches the Rfam family "Bacterial small subunit ribosomal RNA", at positions 8 to 796 of the family's 1533-position model. The record is from RNAcentral.